UACGUAGGGGGCAAGCGUUGUCCGGAAUCAUUGGGCGUAAAGCGCGUGUAGGCGGUCCGGUAAGUCCGCUGUGAAAGUCGGGGGCUCAACCCUCGGAUGCCGGUGGAUACUGUCGGGCUUGAGUACGGAAGAGGCGAGUGGAAUUCCUGGUGUAGCGGUGAAAUGCGUAGAUAUCUGGAGGAACACCGGUGGCGAAGGCGGCAUCCUGGACCAAUACUGACGCUGAGGAGCGAAAGCCAGGGGAGCAAACGGG
This 253-nucleotide ribosomal RNA is filed under the name uncultured bacterium. RNAcentral's name for it is "partial 16S ribosomal RNA". It matches the Rfam family "Bacterial small subunit ribosomal RNA", at positions 524 to 776 of the family's 1533-position model. The record is from RNAcentral.